This 377-nucleotide ribosomal RNA is filed under the name uncultured Cortinariaceae. RNAcentral's name for it is "eukaryotic LSU rRNA". The stretch from base 1 to 105 matches the Rfam family "5.8S ribosomal RNA", at positions 50 to 154 of the family's 154-position model. The record is from RNAcentral. Lineage: Eukaryota; Fungi; Basidiomycota; Agaricomycetes; Agaricales; Cortinariaceae.
GAAAUGCGAUAAGUAAUGUGAAUUGCAGAAUUCAGUGAAUCAUCGAAUCUUUGAACGCAUCUUGCGCUCCUUGGUAUUCCGAGGAGCAUGCCUGUUUGAGUGUCAUUUAAAUUCUCAAACCACAUUUUGUGAUGUGGAUUUGGAUGUGGGGGAAUGUUUUGCAGGCGACCUUUGGAAGUCUGCUCCCCUGAAAUGCAUUAGUGGUAUCUGAGCCUUCAGGUGUGAUAAAUUUAUCUAUGCCUGCUUGCAUUGAACAGAUUGCACCGCUUCCAACAAACUUUUCUUUUUUUUAAAGACCUCAAAUCAGGUAGGACUACCCGCUGAACUUAAGCAUAUCAAUAAGCGGAGGAAAAGAAACUAACAAGGAUUCCCCUAGU